AACGAACGCUGGCGGCAGGCUUAACACAUGCAAGUCGAACGCCCCGCAAGGGGAGUGGCAGACGGGUGAGUAACACGUGGGAAUGUACCUUUCAGUUCGGAACAACACAGAGAAAUUUGUGCUAAUACCGUAUACGUCCGUAAGGAGAAAGAUUUAUCGCUGAAAGAUCAGCCCGCGUCAGAUUAGGUAGUUGGUGGGGUAAUGGCCUACCAAGCCGACGAUCUGUAGCUGGUCUGAGAGGAUGAUCAGCCACACUGGGACUGAGACACGGCCCAGACUCCUACGGGAGGCAGCAGUGGGGAAUAUUGGACAAUGGGCGCAAGCCUGAUCCAGCCAUGCCGCGUGUGUGAU
This 351-nucleotide ribosomal RNA is filed under the name uncultured bacterium. Its description in RNAcentral is "bacterial SSU rRNA". It matches the Rfam family "Bacterial small subunit ribosomal RNA", at positions 29 to 409 of the family's 1533-position model. The record is from RNAcentral.